RNAcentral lists this non-coding RNA (290 nucleotides) under Celeribacter baekdonensis B30. Its description in RNAcentral is "Bacterial large subunit ribosomal RNA". It matches the Rfam family "Bacterial large subunit ribosomal RNA", at positions 2623 to 2925 of the family's 2925-position model. Lineage: Bacteria; Pseudomonadati; Pseudomonadota; Alphaproteobacteria; Rhodobacterales; Roseobacteraceae. The record is from Rfam by way of RNAcentral.
GAGACAGUUCGGUCCCUAUCUGCCGUGGGUGUAGGAUACUUGAGAGGAGUUGCCCCUAGUACGAGAGGACCGGGGUGAACGAUCCACUGGUGGACCAGUUGUUAUGCCAAUAGCAGUGCUGGGUAGCUAUGAUCGGAAAGGAUAACCGCUGAAGGCAUCUAAGCGGGAAGCCCCCCUCAAAACAAGGUAUCCCUGAGAGCCGAGGUAGACCACCUCGUCGAUAGGCUGGAGAUGUAAGUGCAGUAAUGCAUUCAGUUGACCAGUACUAAUUGCUCGAUAGGCUUGAUUUG